UACGGAGGGUGCAAGCGUUGUCCGGAUUUAUUGGGUUUAAAGGGUGCGUAGGCGGCCCUGUAAGUCGAGUGGUGAAAUACUGCAGCUUAACUGUAGCAUUGCCAUUGAUACUGUAGGGCUUGAGUACAGAUGAGGUAGGCGGAAUUGAUGGUGGUAGCGGUGAAAUGCAUAGAUACCAUCAAGAACACCGAUUGCGAAGGCAGCUUACUAGCUGUAACUGACGCUGAGGCACGAAAGCGUGGGGAUCAAACAGG
Molecule: ribosomal RNA, 254 nt
Filed under: uncultured bacterium
Lineage: Bacteria
Description: partial 16S ribosomal RNA
Rfam family: Bacterial small subunit ribosomal RNA
Source: RNAcentral